GACGAACGCUGGCGGCGUGCUUAACACAUGCAAGUCGAACGAAGAGCGAUGGAAGCUUGCUUCUAUCAAUCUUAGUGGCGAACGGGUGAGUAACGCGUAAUCAACCUGCCCUUCAGAGGGGGACAACAGUUGGAAACGACUGCUAAUACCGCAUACGAUCUGACCUCGGCAUCGAGGAUAGAUGAAAGGUGGCCUCUACAUGUAAGCUAUCACUGAAGGAGGGGAUUGCGUCUGAUUAGCUAGUUGGAGGGGUAACGGCCCACCAAGGCGAUGAUCAGUAGCCCGUCUGAGAGGAUGAACGGCCACAUUGGGACUGAGACACGGCCCAGACUCCUACGGGAGGCAGCAGUGGGGAAUCUUCCGCAAUGGACGAAAGUCUGACGGAGCAACGCCGCGUGAGUGAUGACGGCCUUCGGGUUGUAAAGCUCUGUUAAUCGGGACGAAAGGCCUUUUUGCGAAUAGUGAGAAGGAUUGACGGUACCGGAAUAGAAAGCCACGGCUAACUACGUG
RNAcentral lists this ribosomal RNA (510 nucleotides) under uncultured bacterium. RNAcentral describes it as "partial 16S ribosomal RNA". It matches the Rfam family "Bacterial small subunit ribosomal RNA", at positions 28 to 507 of the family's 1533-position model. The record is from RNAcentral.